RNAcentral lists this ribosomal RNA (383 nucleotides) under uncultured eukaryote. RNAcentral's name for it is "partial 18S ribosomal RNA". It matches the Rfam family "Eukaryotic small subunit ribosomal RNA", at positions 592 to 976 of the family's 1831-position model. The record is from RNAcentral.
UGUAAGCGUAUACCAAAGUUGUUGCAGUUAAAACGCUCGUAGUCGGAACUUGGCCGUGUCGGAUGAGUGCACGUCGUGUGCGCGCAUUGCAGAUAUGGCUUUUGUGGGUUUUGCGUACGAUGAGGCACGUUUAUUCGUGAACGUCGUUCCGCAGCCACUCUUUACUGUGAGAAAAUCAAAGUGCUCAAAGCAGGCAUUUGCCGUGAAUGUAUUAGCAUGGAAUAAUAGAAUAGGACUCGGUUCUAUUUUGUUGGUUUGUUGGGGCUGAGUAAUGAUUAAGAGGGACAGUUGGGGGCAUUUGUAUUUCGGCGCUAGAGGUGAAAUUCUUAGAUUGCCGAAAGACAAACUGCUGCGAAAGCGUCUGCCAAGGAUGUUUUCAUUGA